AGAGUUUGAUCCUGGCUCAGGAUGAACGCUGGCGGCGUGCCUAACACAUGCAAGUCGAACGGAGUUCUUAAGGAAUGCGACUUCGGUCAAAUGACUUUUGAACUUAGUGGCGGACGGGUGAGUAACGCGUGAGCAACCUGCCUUUCAGAGGGGGAUAACAUUUGGAAACAGAUGCUAAUACCGCAUAAGAUUACAGUACCGCAUGAUACAGUGAUCAAAGGAGCAAUCCGCUGAAAGAUGGGCUCGCGUCCGAUUAGAUAGUUGGUGAGGUAACGGCUCACCAAGUCGACGAUCGGUAGCCGGACUGAGAGGUUGAACGGCCACAUUGGGACUGAGACACGGCCCAGACUCCUACGGGAGGCAGCAGUGGGGAAUAUUGCACAAUGGGCGAAAGCCUGAUGCAGCAACGCCGCGUGAGGGAAGACGGUUUUCGGAUUGUAAACCUCUGUUUUCGGUGACGAACAAAUGACGGUAACCGAGUAGGAAGCCACGGCUAACUACGUGCCAGCAGCCGCGGUAAUACGUAGGUGGCAAGCGUUAUCCGGAAUUACUGGGUGUAAAGGGAGCGCAGGCGGGAUAGCAAGUCAGCUGUGAAAACUAUGGGCUCAACCCAUAAACUGCAGUUGAAACUGUUAUUCUUGAGUGGAGUAGAGGCAAGCGGAAUUCCGAGUGUAGCGGUGAAAUGCGUAGAUAUUCGGAGGAACACCAGUGGCGAAGGCGGCUUGCUGGGCUCUAACUGACGCUGAGGCUCGAAAGUGUGGGGAGCAAACAGGAUUAGAUACCCUGGUAGUCCACACUGUAAACGAUGAUUGCUAGGUGUGGGGGGUCUGACCCCCUCCGUGCCGGAGUUAACGCAAUAAGCAAUCCACCUGGGGAGUA
RNAcentral lists this ribosomal RNA (879 nucleotides) under uncultured bacterium. Its description in RNAcentral is "bacterial SSU rRNA". It matches the Rfam family "Bacterial small subunit ribosomal RNA", at positions 8 to 882 of the family's 1533-position model. The record is from RNAcentral.